UGGUGGAGUGAUUUGUCUGGUUAAUUCCGUUAACGAACGAGACCCCGCCUGCUAACUAGUCGUACCAAUGCCUAGCCUUGGUUUCGGCUUCUUAGAGGGACUUUCGGUGACUAAUCGAAGGAAGUUGGGGCAAUAACA
This 138-nucleotide ribosomal RNA is filed under the name uncultured eukaryote. RNAcentral's name for it is "partial 18S ribosomal RNA". It matches the Rfam family "Eukaryotic small subunit ribosomal RNA", at positions 1299 to 1458 of the family's 1831-position model. The record is from RNAcentral.